CUCAGGGAGGUUAUGUAAUUUGUCCAAGGUCACACAGCAAAUAAAAAGCCAAACCAUAAGAGCCAGUGAUCUUAAGAGUGCUGACACUAUCCUGCCCCUCUGGAAGAAUCGCAGAGAUAGGAGAGAUGAAAACCACAGGCUUUCCCGGUGGCACUUACUGUGCUAGGAGUUUGAAUCUGAAAAUAGGCCUCCAGCGCUCGCUUUGGCAGCACAUAUACUAAAAUUAAAAACAGGCCUCUGACGGGAUCUCCGAUGAAAGGACAGCCAACCACCAGCUUUGGGAAUUUUUGAGAGCUCCUAAUCCAGAGUACCUUGGAAGCUCCCAAGGAAGGGGAGAAAGAAUGAAAAGGCAAAGCUUUAGGUUUUACCUCUUGACUACUACAAAAGACCGCGAAGAUUUAGCUCUUAUAUUGCCUUCCACAUCUUCCUGUGCCGCUUUUGUUUAUAUCAUCAAUCUGCAUUUACAAUAGUCCAACCACGAAAGAAAUUAUCCAAGCUGAAUCAGGAGUGUGCUAUGAUUAUAAUUCCUUUGCUAGAUGUUCUGCUUUUCCUGGGGAACUGUUAUCAGUUUCCACUCGGGAACACAGGACCCGGGACAGCAGUAUGUCAGCAGCACCUGGAUUUCUGAGUAGGGUCAUGGGAAAGGAUCACAGAUGAAGUAAACCUGAAGCCUUCCGAGUCUGUAACCUACUUGUGACAAAGCCUGAAAACGUCAUGUUGAUCCAUCCACCGAUAAGAAUCAUAGGCAGGACAUUGGUGACAUUGCCUUUCAUCAUGUCUGUGAGCAUGGUGGGAUCUAAGACAGAAAAACAAGCACCCAACAGCUGUUACCACAGUUGGUAGGGAUUUAUUCCUUGCUUUCUGUAACUUUUUACUUUACUUGAUAAAAUUAAUACAAGUAAUACAAGUUCAUUGUAAAAAAUUCAAACGACAUAGAAACACAGGAUGUGGACAGUUCCUCUGCCUACUGUCUAAACACUUUUAACUGUUG
This is a long non-coding RNA of Bubalus bubalis (water buffalo), 991 nucleotides long. RefSeq lists it as uncharacterized. The transcript is spliced from 3 exons. The record is from RefSeq and is a predicted model, not a curated record. NCBI's taxonomy places the organism in Eukaryota, Metazoa, Chordata, Mammalia, Artiodactyla, Bovidae.